RNAcentral lists this ribosomal RNA (475 nucleotides) under uncultured bacterium. Its description in RNAcentral is "bacterial SSU rRNA". It matches the Rfam family "Bacterial small subunit ribosomal RNA", at positions 33 to 507 of the family's 1533-position model. The record is from RNAcentral.
AGGAGACGCUGGCGGCGUGCCUAACACAUGCAAGUCGAGCGGGGUUGAGGCGAGAGGUAACUCGAGCUUCUACCUAGCGGCGGACGGGUGAGUAACGCGUGGGCAACCUGCCUCAAGGUUUGGGAUAACAGCCCGAAAGGGCUGCUAAUACCGGAUAUGCCUAUGGCCUCGCAUGGGGCUAUGAGCAAAGGGGAAACCCGCCUUGAGAUGGGCCCGCGUCCCAUCAGCUAGUUGGUGAGGUAACAGCUCACCAAGGCGACGACGGGUAGCCGGCCUGAGAGGGUGACCGGCCACACUGGGACUGAGACACGGCCCAGACUCCUACGGGGGGCAGCAGUGGGGGAUCUUGCACAAUGGGCGAAAGCCUGAUGCAGCGACGCCGCGUGAGCGAAGAAGGCCUUCGGGUUGUAAAGCUCUGUCUGGAGGGACGAACAAAAUGACGGUACCUCCGGAGGAAGCCACGGCUAACUACGUG